Molecule: long non-coding RNA, 613 nt
Filed under: Betta splendens (Siamese fighting fish)
Lineage: Eukaryota; Metazoa; Chordata; Actinopteri; Anabantiformes; Osphronemidae
Description: lncRNA (ENSBSLG00000001652.1)
Source: RNAcentral
GUGAAUGGAGAAGGAGGAAAAUGUUUGAAUCUUCAUAUUGGUCUAAAGAGGAGGCGGCAGAAGGAAGGAACAGGGAGUGAUUCGCAGUGGAUGAGUCGGCGGCGCUGCAGUUGCACAGGUUUUGCAACCAUCCAUCACAACAUCAGGCUCUGGAUUGAAGACGCUGCUGCCUGUGAGCGAAGCGCGGCUGAAGGACGCGACCACUGCUGUCACGUUCCAGUGGCCGUGACCACCGUGAGCUGCUCUAGUCUGCAGCCAAUCCUGCCUGAUGGCGAACGAUGCAGAGGAAACAACAUCUGCACCUCUAACCGUCGCCACUGCAUCGACUAAUCAACGUCGAGCUGAACGCGCCGUCUUCUGCCGCCGAAUCGCUCCCGUCGCCCUGCCGUCGCUUUGGCUCGAGAUCCCAAUCGCACAGUCGUUCUGUCAGCUCCAAGGCCGUCGCUGCCUUGAAACAAGUGGCGAAGUCGAGCAACAGAGUGGAGGGAGACGCGCAGAUUAUAGUGCUACUCCGCUGAGAGUCAUGGAGAACAGAAUCAUAUUUGAGAGCAGGAUUACAAUAGCCGCCGUAAACUGUAUGCAGCAAUGCCCAAACAAGCACGACGCCAUAUAG